This 457-nucleotide long non-coding RNA is filed under the name Capra hircus (goat). RNAcentral's name for it is "lncRNA (ENSCHIG00000000556.1)". Lineage: Eukaryota; Metazoa; Chordata; Mammalia; Artiodactyla; Bovidae. The record is from RNAcentral.
GGAACAAAUCCCACUGCAUCACCCAAGGCCAGGCUCUUAGGCCAAAGCAUCUGGAUGACGGUGUGGAAUCACAGGGGCCACCUGAGAGAGUCAGAGGAUGUGCCCCGGACAAGCCCUGGUGACAGCCCAGAACUCACUGCUAAAGAACACUUCGGUGGAACAGAGAUUUACUUUUCUGAACGCCUUGGAUAACUUUGCUGCCCUGAGGAUCAGGUGGCCUCUGGGUCCCACUCAUAUACUUGUCUUCAAGCUGCUGCUUCCGAAUGGCAUCGCCUUUGUGAGAAUGAAGAGGGAAGAGCCCGCUCAAUGCACAGCACGUGCUCAAGGAGCAGCAUUCCUUUUUUCACACCUUCAGUGCAAGUGUAAGAAGAAGGCAAUGGCACCCCACCCCAGUGCUCUCGCCUGGAAAAUCCCAUGGACAGAGGAGCCUGGUGGGCCGCAGUCCAUGGGGCGCUAA